RNAcentral lists this ribosomal RNA (253 nucleotides) under uncultured bacterium. Its description in RNAcentral is "partial 16S ribosomal RNA". It matches the Rfam family "Bacterial small subunit ribosomal RNA", at positions 524 to 776 of the family's 1533-position model. The record is from RNAcentral.
UACGUAGGGGGCGAGCGUUGUCCGGAUUUAUUGGGCGUAAAGAGCGUGUAGGCGGCCAGGUAGGUCUGCUGUGAAAACUCGAGGCUUAACCUCUAGACGUCGAUGGAAACCGUCUGGCUAGAGUCCGGAAGAGGAGAAUGGAAUUCCUGGUGUAGCGGUGAAAUGCGCAGAUAUCAGGAAGAACACCCGUGGCUAAGGCGGUUCUCUAGUACGGUACUGACGCUGAGACGCGAAAGCGUGGGGAGCGAACAGG